UGUUUUCUUUGGUGACUCGGGGAGAAUGCAGUCAGGGAAAGUUCCAGAAAAUCAGCAUGUCAGGGUGUGGAGGAGUAUCAGCCAUGGGAAACUGAUUUGUGCUGACCAAGCUCAUGGGAGUCAGUAUACAUUCUAAGAAUAGAUUUAUACACAUAAACACACAGGUCUUCCCUCUGCUAACUCAUUCUCCAAAUGGCUGCCAAGACUGAAGCUGUGCUGGUCCGAAGCCAGGCACCAGGAGUUUCUUCUCAGUCUUCCACAUGGGUACAGGGGCUUAAGCACCUCAGCCAUCUUUUGCUGCUUUCCCAGGCUCUAAUAAGGAGUUGUUCUGAGUGAAACAGCUGGAAUUCAAACUGGGUGCCACAGGCUGCAGCUUUACCCACUAUACCACAGCACUGGCCCAUUGGUAUCUUUUUUGAAAAAAAUUGGUAAAAAAAUUAGAUUAUUAAUCUUUGGAAUUCCUGUUUUACCCUCAUGGGCUACUGUUCUUCCAAGGAGUAUAUUUUGAUGUGGCACUGAUUGUUGCAGAUCCUCACAAUGUUGUGUGCAGACGGUGAGGGCACAUAAGCUGAUUUUGUAGGGUACAUCAAAGAGCAUUUUGAGUGUUAAUGUGUCGCAUAAUGGAAUUGCUACAUCGAGCCUAUGAUUUCGUGGAUAUUGUAGCUUAUGAUAAGGUUAUUCUUGAUUUAAAGAAAACAUUGCGUAGAUAAUACUGCAGGUAGGACAUAGAUAAGUAGGGAAAUU
Ochotona princeps (American pika) is the source of this 744-nucleotide long non-coding RNA. RefSeq lists it as uncharacterized. The transcript has 3 exons. NCBI's taxonomy places the organism in Eukaryota, Metazoa, Chordata, Mammalia, Lagomorpha, Ochotonidae. The record is from RefSeq and is a predicted model, not a curated record.